CUUGAGGGAGCCGAGCCAGAGCGGAGCAUGCGCGGGCCGCCCCUGGCCGUAGGUGGCGAGCAGGGCCUCGGCCUC
RNAcentral lists this antisense RNA (75 nucleotides) under Streptomyces alboflavus. RNAcentral's name for it is "ASpks TB sRNA". It matches the Rfam family "ASpks TB sRNA". Lineage: Bacteria; Bacillati; Actinomycetota; Actinomycetes; Kitasatosporales; Streptomycetaceae. The record is from Rfam by way of RNAcentral.